UCGUAAACCCUUAUUAUUUUUCUCAAUUCUCCCACAAAGUAUCCAUCUCCAAUCUGACCGUCUUUCGACCCCGUCACCAUCUGCCACUACUCGUGGCCAUCUGUUCACUCCGACGUGGCCGUCUAUUCGCUCUGACGUGCUCAUCUAUUCACUCUAGCGCUGCCAUUAACGAACGACGAAACCCCUGCAAUCCCUCUGCAAUCUUCAAACCUUUUCAAUUCGUUCUCGUCUUCUCCAGUGUUGUCGUUCGUGCCCGUUGUCUCCGGUGCUGCCAUUUGUGCCCGUCGUCACCUCCUCUACCGGAUUCCUUUUCAUAGGUGAAGUUCGAACUUGCUGCUUAUGAGAAGUUAGUAUUUGGAAAAUUAGAGAUGGUAUUCUUGUUGUUACAUCACAUCCACUUAUCAGUCCUAUUUUGUUCAAUCCGGCUGUGGCCGUAAUCUCCAAUCUGUCGCAUUCUCUUGAACAUUCAAUUUGCAUCUGUGACCUCCUCUACUGGUUUAUUUUGAGGCCAACUUAGACAUCUACACAAUGGACAAGUCAUGGAUGACCCAAAAUAGGAUGUCAAGAGAAUAUGAUUUAUGAGUCGAAAGGUUCAUUAAAUUUAGGUUGAGUCAUGCCAAAUGUUCUAAUUCAAUUAGAUGUUCAUGUUUGAAUUGCGGCAAUCGUUUACUUAAGGAUGUCUCAACAGUUCAGUAUCAUUUGAAUGCCAAUGAAAUUGAUAAAAGUUACAAGAUAUGGUUCUAGCAUGGUGAAGAAUUAACACAGAUAACGUUACCAACACGAUGGAAAAUACAGUGGUUAAACUGAUGAAAACGUCGAUUUAUUUAAUACAGUUAAUAUGAUUCAAUUCGUUCAAGAACAAUCUUCUAAUGCAUCCAAUACCUUUGACACUAUGUUUGAUGAGGCGAAGAAACCCUUAUACCCCGGAUGUAAGAAAUUCACAAAGUUGUCAGCCCUCGUGAGAUUGUAUAACCUGAAGGUUAGGUAUGGUUGGAGUAACACUAGCUUCUCUGAAUUACUGUCCAUAAUAAGUGAUCUAUUACUUGAUAACAACGAAGUUCCAUCUUCCUUAUACGAAGUGAAGAAAACACUAGGUGCCUUAGGACUAAGUUACCAAAAAAUUGAUGCAUGUCCUAAUGAUUGUUGUUUGUACAGAAAAGAAUAUGAAAACAUGACCAAGUGCCCUAAGUGUGGUUUUUCAAGGUGGAAGAUCGCUAAUAACUCAAACAAGGAAAAAUGUGGUGUGCUUGCCAAACAUAUGUGGUACUUUCCAAUAGUUCCAAUAUUUAUAAGAAUGUUUAAGCGAUUCGAAAAUGCUAAGAACUUGUGUUGGCAUGCGGUAGAUAGAAAGGUUGAUGGUACUUUGAGACACCUGGCUGACACUCCAUCAUGGAAGUUGAUUGACCACAUGUGGCCAACCUUUGGGUCAGAACCGAGAGGUUGAUGGUACCUUUGGGUUUGUCUACUGAUGGAAUUAACCAAUUUGGAGAUAUGUCGACGACGUACAGUUGUUGGCCUAUUAUCACUACCUUCCACCAUGGCUGUGUAUAAGAAGAAAAUAUUUGAUGUUGACAAUGUUAAUAUCAAGUCCAAAGCAAUCGAUAUACGAUAUCACUACGUACUUAGCACCCUUAAUUGAUUACCUACAAAUGUUGUGGAAAUAUGGAGUUCAUUGUUUCGAUGCAUAUAAGGAAGAAUACUUCACACUGCGGGUUGUCUUAUUGUGGACCAUCAACGAUUUUCCAGCAUAUGAUAAUCUAUGCAGUUUUAGUGUGAAAGGAUAUAAGGCUUGUCCAAUAUGUGGAGAGAAGACUAGUUCAAUAAGAUUGCAACAAGGAAAAAAAAUUUCAUACAUGAGACACAAGGAGUAUUUGCCUAGACAUCAUCCAUACAUAUUACAAAAAAAAAAUUAAUGGGAGGCAAGAGCAUGGAAUUCCUCCACAACCCUUGUCGGGGGAGAUCACGUACCUUAAGCUGAAAGACAUGAUAUUUUCAUGUGGGAAGAAGUGUGGAAGGAUCGUGCAUAAUGAAGGUGGCAAUGACUAAUGGAAAAGAAGACCAGAAUUUUUUCAACUACCAUAUUCGAAACACUUGCAUGUUCAACACUUGUUUAGACGUACUGCAUAUUGAAAAAAUGUAUGCAUGAACGUAGUGGGCACCUUGCUUGAUAUACCAGAAAAAAGUAAGGAUGAAAUGAAUACUAGACUUGACUUAGUCGAAAUAAAAAUUAGACCAAAAUUGCCACCAACGUUUACCGGUAAUAGAACUUACAUCCCUGCGGCAUGUUAUACACUAUCAAGAGAAGAGAAGUAUCAGUUUUGUAAGACUUUGUCAAAAAUUAAAGUUUCAUAAGGUUAUUCAUCAAAUAUUAGUAGUCGUGUCUCUUUGGAUGACUUAAAACUGAUCGGCCUUAAGUCGCACAACUGUCAUGUUUAAUGCUGCAACUACCUCCAAUUGCAAGACGUUCAAUCCUACCGAAGAAUGUGAGGUACACAAUCAGAAGAUUGUGCUUUUUCUCAAAGCGAUUUGCGCCAAAAAGUUUAUCUGUCUCAGAUCUUGAUGCAUUGCAUGGAGAAAUAGUUCUGACUUUAUGCAAUCUUGAGAAGUCCUUCCCACCCUUGUUCUUUACAAUCAUGGUUAACCUUAUCGUUCAUUUCGUUAGAGAAGUAAAACUUUGUGGACCUGUAUAUUUGCGGUGGAUGUACCCAUUUGAACGGUGCAUGAAAAUGUUGAAAAGUUAUGUUCGCAAUAGAACUCGACCGGAAGGAUGCAUUAAAGAAGCAAGCAUAUGUGAGGAGGCAACUGAAUUCUGUUCAGAUUUUCUUUCUGGACUAGAUCUCUAUUGGACUUGGGUCACUCAAUUCAAGGGCAGACAUACAAAGUGAUUGACCACUGUCAGCAGGAACAUACGUUUGACCCUAUGUCCAACAACUGAAGCAAGCAUAUCUUCAUGUCUUACAGAACACUGGAGAAGAUAUGUUACAGAACAUACGUUGAGUGAUGAGUGAACUACAUGAAGGAAAAGUUCUCUCGAACACCAUACGUUGGCUUGCACUGUCGGACCUGACUGUGAAGGCAUAUGUGUUAGCAAUUGACUUUGAUAAGAUAAUUCCAUUUUCAGAUAUGACUACUUCAGAAUCUACCGUUAUCAAGUUUUCUUUUCAUGUUCAACAGUUUCUUUGUUUUCAAAUUUCGAAGAAUUUUAUGUAGUAGAUAUUUUAAUUUGAAAGUGUUAUGUGUGUUACCAUAUUUAGUAUGAACUUUGCGUAAUUAAGUGUGCAUGAAUCAUUUCCUAUUUUCUUUUAGAACCAAGUGUUUAUUAACGUUUAAUUAUGAAAGUCAUGUAUCGAUUCUAAUAUUAGACUUUUCGGUUAUGCUAACACUUUUUUGGAUA
Molecule: long non-coding RNA, 3394 nt
Organism: Cucumis sativus (cucumber)
Lineage: Eukaryota; Viridiplantae; Streptophyta; Magnoliopsida; Cucurbitales; Cucurbitaceae
Exons: 6
Source: RefSeq, a predicted model, not a curated record